RNAcentral lists this non-coding RNA (31 nucleotides) under Mus musculus (house mouse). Lineage: Eukaryota; Metazoa; Chordata; Mammalia; Rodentia; Muridae. The record is from RNAcentral.
UAAGAGUCUGUUACAAGGUGUACAGUGUAUU